Passer domesticus (house sparrow) is the source of this 1301-nucleotide long non-coding RNA. RefSeq lists it as uncharacterized. The record is from RefSeq and is a predicted model, not a curated record. Lineage: Eukaryota; Metazoa; Chordata; Aves; Passeriformes; Passeridae. The transcript has 3 exons.
CAAACAGGAACACAAAUAUUAUUUAUGCCAAGUGGAGCUGACAUCACCCUGUGAUACCUCCUAAACUUGUGACCUUGAGUUAAUUGUGAAGCAACAGCAAGUGAAAAUCAGUGGGAAAAGGAACAAGUAUGAAAGAAAACAACCCCUAAAUUAAAGACCUUUUCCUCUCCAGCAGUUUGGGCAGCAGCUCAGACUGUCAUCAGCAGAUAAAUCAGUUUGCAGGGCUGUGGACAGCUCGUUAAUAUGAGUUCUGAAUGGUUUAAUUGGGGAAGUGUGGGAGAAGCUGGAGGUGCAGAGUCAGGCUGAGCUCAGGGCACGUGGGGCUGGGUGUGCUCCUCCAGAAUUUCUCUGCCUAGAAUUGCUGGACUCUGGAUUCACAUCACCCCUGGCUCUGCUCAUCAGUGAAGCUUCCAGGAUUAAUUCCCACUCCUGCAGCAAGGAUAUGAGGACAGGUGACACAGGGGCUCUGCUGGAACCUUCCGAACUUCACUCCUGCUCCAGCUGCUGAUGAAAUGCCCUUUUCUUUUGGAUCAGUGCAAGGAACACACUUUGUCCUGGCACAAAUCACAUGAAACUAAAUAAACCAUGGGACAAGAAAGCAAGAAGAAAAUAAAUGUCUUCAUUCUGAAGCCAUUUCCUUUGUGCUUUUGGACUCUGGGGCUCUUUCCAUUUCAGAGUUUCAUGUUAUGCUGGCUAUUAAUCGCCAAACUUAAAAAUAAAAAGAUAAAAUGCUCUUUCUGCCUGUGGUUUAGGAACACACAAAAUACUAUAUUUUGAACAUUACAAAUCUGUAAGGAUUUAAAUUUCUUACAUCUCUUAGUUAAAAAAAAUUGAAUAACUGAGAUUUCCCAAAGCGAGUUACAUUCUCACAAAAUAAAAACACAGGUAAGGAGUUUUUUAUGUUCAGAUUUGAAUGGGCAAGCCAAGACAUUUUCCUUUUCAUGAAUGCAAUGGAUAUUAAUUAACAAAAUAGUGUUAAUAAAGAAUUUAAGGGCAUGGGACUGAUCCUGUUCUAAACUUGAUGGCCUCACUUCCACCCGGUGCAGCAGGUCUGGGCUAAGAUUUGUGUGGAUUUUUUGUCAUAAAGUUUUUAAUCCAAGUUAUUGAGGUCAGGAAUGACUCCCACUGCCUUGACCAGGGUGCUUUGGAGCCCCUCAAAAACAUCUUCGCCCUAAAUAUCCAUUUUUAAACAAUUCAGCCCCAGAUCUCACCUUGACACUGUUGUUUGCUAAAAAACAGUAUCUGGAUCCUAAGGAUUUGCUCAUUUUUUAAAGAGCAUUCAAACACCACAGGGGCAUAUC